UGGCUCAGAGGUUGAGAGCACUGGCUGCUCUUCCAGAGAACCUGAGUUCAAUUCUCAG
RNAcentral lists this transfer RNA (58 nucleotides) under Neotoma lepida (desert woodrat). Lineage: Eukaryota; Metazoa; Chordata; Mammalia; Rodentia; Cricetidae. The record is from Rfam by way of RNAcentral.